RNAcentral lists this ribosomal RNA (488 nucleotides) under uncultured bacterium. RNAcentral's name for it is "partial 16S ribosomal RNA". It matches the Rfam family "Bacterial small subunit ribosomal RNA", at positions 28 to 507 of the family's 1533-position model. The record is from RNAcentral.
GACGAACGCUGGCGGCGUGCUUAACACAUGCAAGUCGAACGCGCCUGUCCUCUGGGUUUCUGGGGGGUGGGUGAGUGGCGAACGGGUGAGUAACACGUGAGUAACCUGCCCCCUUCUUCGGGAUAACGGUCUGAAAGGGCUGCUAAUACCGGGUAUUCACUGGUCUCCGCAUGGGGUCUGGUGGAAAGGUUUUUUUCUGGUGGGGGAUGGGCUCGCGGCCUAUCAGCUUGUUGGUGGGGUGAUGGCCCACCAAGGCUUUGACGGGUAGCCGGCCUGAGAGGGUGACCGGUCACAUUGGGACUGAGAUACGGCCCAGACUCCUACGGGAGGCAGCAGUGGGGAAUAUUGCACAAUGGGCGCAAGCCUGAUGCAGCGACGCCGCGUGAGGGAUGGAGGCCUUCGGGUUGUGAACCUCUUUCGCCCGUGGUCAAGCCGCGACAUGGGUCGUGGUGAGGGUAGUGGGUAAAGAAGCGCCGGCUAACUACGUG